Long non-coding RNA from Micropterus salmoides (largemouth bass), 1078 nucleotides. RefSeq lists it as uncharacterized. The transcript is spliced from 4 exons. The record is from RefSeq and is a predicted model, not a curated record. Lineage: Eukaryota; Metazoa; Chordata; Actinopteri; Centrarchiformes; Centrarchidae.
UGUUUUUGUAUUUACAUGGCUCAGCAUUUCUGAGUGAACACCGCUGGUUCACUCAAUAUUUUUAAGUGUACUGUCGAUCACGUGAUAUGACGUCAUGACGUGCCAUCCUAACUGACGUUACCUGAAAAAUCUAUCCAAGAUGGCUACCCUCUCGAGCAAUGUGGUGUCUAUGCGUGGUAUCAAGCAUUAAACUUUAAGCUAACCUACACGGCACGAACCGGAAAGAUAUCAGAGGCGCUGCGUGACAUCUUUAAGAUUUAUGAUCUCCAGGAAGUGCAGGAUGUCAAUAUGAAGCGUACUGUAGCCCUUCGUGCCCUCCCGGUAUACAUGCGUGAGGAGGACCCACAGUUCUUCAAGACUUGUAAUGUGGAGGAGUCAGAUGAGCCAUGCAUCGACACUCCUGUUGCUCUUGUCACAGUCACAGAGGACACUGCAGAUCCAGUUCAUUUCAGUCCUGCAAGUAUUUCUAUUGUUGUGGAAGACGAUGUUGUGAUGAGUGAUAUCCCUAACUUGGCUGAUGCAUUUGCAUUGUUGUUUGGGUUAAUGUAUGCAUUGCAUUUGAACUAUCCCAAGAAACUCAUUCACACUUUCACAUUCAUCCAGAAAAUCCUAAUGGGUCUUGAUGAUGGUAAACCACUUAAACCCUGCCUACUGAGUCUCAAAAAUGACCUGUUAAUGAAAGAGUAGGCUAACUUAAGAGUAGUGUUUACACAUGUAUUUUCUUGUCUGCAUGUUGAUGUGUUUUGGGGGUUCCCAGUAUGGUAACUUUAUAGUAUGUUGUUGAACACAAUGUUACUCAAAGCAUUUGAAACUGUUUACAUAUGGCAGAUUAUGUCUUGCCCACCAAAUCUUUUAAUUUACUUUUUUUUGUAUAUUUUUUUAUUCCAUUUUCACUUUGAUUGCUGUUACUAAUGCUGUUUUAAUAAGCAUUUAUUUUCAUACUUUUUAUAUUAAGCACUUUGCUUAGUUCCUGAUGAUCUUGUUCCUGUUUAAUAUGUAGAGAUACAUAUGUACACAACACACACACACACACACACACACAGAGACACACACACACACACAGAGACACACACACACA